UUGGGCCAGAGAGGCACAGGCUGCGAUGAGCCACGACUGCGCCUCUACACUCUAUCUAGCCUGGGCAACAGAGUGAGACCCUGUGUCUUAAAAAAAAGAAAAAAAAGUUUUUUAUGGAGGCUCACAUUUGGCACAGCCUAAGUAAUUUUCCAAGAGUAAAGGUGUUUUUCUUUUUGUGAUGAUCUUAUCUUGGAUGCUAAGAAACGGGGUACAGGUACUUGAAUAUGUAUGUGUUGUCCAUAUUAAGAAACAGUAAUCUUGUGCUUCAAGCAAGUGUUCACUGUAAAAAUGGGAGGGUAGCCAAAUUCCAUGUUAUUAGGAAAGACAAUGGAUGAAAAUGUUACUUGUUUCUGAGGCGCAGACAACCAUUCCUGAUAAAAGGAAUAAAGGAAAAGCCCUGUGGGUAGAAGUGGCACUCCCACGGACUGAAAGCUGGAUCCACACUACAGGUUGUCCCAGCAUCAGCUAUUGAGGCUGAUAAGCAAAAGGGAGCUGCUAUGCAAUUUCAGGAUUGGUGCCGACAUCUUCACCUGUGCUCACACUGUCUGCUUCCACUCACUCAUAAUCCUGUUCUCUCUCUUGAAAGAAAGGCUAAUUAGGAUAAAUAUGCUAGUCUGCCUUACUUGGAUGGUGGAAGAACAGAGAGCAGUGUUAGAAUCACUGUUUCAUUACCAGCUGACAUCUGCAUGGUUCUUCUGGGUAAGGACCAGCAACAAGACUGUCUUGUGUGUGUCCUUUUUCUUCCUAGCUCCUCCCAUCUCUCUGAUUAACACCAAUCCAAUAAAAAUUUCUCAAAACUAUAUUAUGUUGGCAUAUUAUUGUUUGUUUAGAUUACAAUCUAUAUGGAAAUUGCAUCACCCCACUCUCUUAGGUCAUCAGAAAUGAGUAUUUUUGGCUAUUCCACAGAAUGUGUAUUCAUUAAAUAUCGUGAGUAGAAAUUAUUUAAAAAUUAAGCAUGUCUUAGGACCUAAACUUUAGUCCUUGCUUGAAUAUUCACAUUUGUGUAAUUCAUUUCCAAUCUUGCCUAAAAGUUACUUAAUAGCUCCUAAAUUCCUAAGAGUCCAUGUCAUUUUCUUUGGAAGCAUAAAUUUAGGCACCUGGACAUUUUGGAAUCAGAGACCCUUGGUCUCUAACCUUUGUGAUUUUUGGAAUAGUUACCCAGACUCUCUACUCACUUUCCUUAUUCAUCAAACUGGGAUAACACAGAACCUACUUCAUAUAGUUGUAUUAAGAAUAAAAUUAAAAACUGUAUGUAAAGUGUACAAUACCUGGUAAAUAAUAUCCAACUAUUAUUUAGAUAAGAGACUUACCUAAAAGUAUAAAUUCCCUAAAUAUUUACUGAGCAUAAGGUGGACUAGUUUCUUCCAACUAGAGGGUGACACUUCACUUCCUCUAAAGUAGAGAUAAAUCUAUCUUUGUCUUCUUUCUUCACAGGCCAUUAUUAUUUGCAUGUAAUAAGAAAAAUUACACUUUUAGCGUCUAUUAUACUUCAUAAAGGCAAAUAAUCGUUUCUGGAGAGGUGAUGUCUCUUUAUCAGUUUUCCAGUAACAGUUACUGUAAGUUAUUUCAACAUAAAAACUGUAUCUUUGAGAAUAUUUUUGAUCCAAGUAGUAGAGACUUUCAAUCUAGAUUUAAGCUGUUUUCAUAUAGCUGAUAAAACAUUUCUUUUCAUCUCUGUUAGACUAUUGGGAUAAAUGAACUAUGACUCUGAAACAGAAAGUCAUUUCUAUGUAUUCUAAUAAAUCAUUUUAAUUUAUAAUUAUGAUAUUCUUAUUAACAGGAUAUUCUGGGUUAUAUACUCUGCUUGUUUUCAACUUUAAAUCACUGAUUUAAAAGAACACAUUUUUAUCAAUGACUUAAAAAGCACUCAAGAUCAUCAUUAUGAACAUAUAUAUACUCCUCUGUUGCAGAGGAAAUAUCCUCACAACCAAAAUUUAUGUGUGAUCUAAAUUUUAAACGCACCCUAGACACCCUAAUAAAGUUAGGCAGGAGGAAAAAAAAAUGAGGCUACCAUCAAUAGGACAGGUAUAAAAGUCUGGAAACCAGCUCCUCAUAUAUGGGUUGUUAGUUAAAUCACAAGUCUUUACCAGAUAUUGUUAGCCUAGUUUCAAUGAUUUUUCUUUAAAAAUAUUCUAUUAUUUAAACUUAUCACCAAUUAAGCCUACUUUCACUCUCACCCAUCCCUACUCCUGUUCAAAUAAAGUAUUACUACCAGAGCCAUUUUUAAAGUGUUCAAACUAAAUGAUAUUAAAAGGAAGUUAAGAAA
This 2266-nucleotide long non-coding RNA is filed under the name Homo sapiens (human). RNAcentral describes it as "HSALNT0403209". The record is from RNAcentral. Lineage: Eukaryota; Metazoa; Chordata; Mammalia; Primates; Hominidae.